GCUCACAUGCAGUCGAGCGGCAGCACAGAGGACUUGUUCCUUGGGUGGCGAGCGGCGGACGGGUGAGUAAUGCCUAGGAAAUUGCCCUGAUGUGGGGGAUAACCAUUGGAAACGAUGGCUAAUACCGCAUGAUGCCUACGGGCCAAAGAGGGGGACCUUCGGGCCUCUCGCGUCAGGAUAUGCCUAGGUGGGAUUAGCUAGUUGGUGAGGUAAUGGCUCACCAAGGCGACGAUCCCUAGCUGGUCUGAGAGGAUGAUCAGCCACACUGGAACUGAGACACGGUCCAGACUCCUACGGGAGGCAGCAGUGGGGAAUAUUGCACAAUGGGCGCAAGCCUGAUGCAGCCAUGCCGCGUGUAUGAAGAAGGCCUUCGGGUUGUAAAGUACUUUCAGUCGUGAGGAAGGUGGUGUUGUUAAUAGCAGCAUCAUUUGACGUUAGCGACAGAAGAAGCACCGGCUAACUCCGUGCCAGCAGCCGCGGUAAUACGGAGGGUGCGAGCGUUAAUCGGAAUUACUGGGCGUAAAGCGCAUGCAGGUGGUGGAUUAAGUCAGAUGUGAAAGCCCGGGGCUCAACCUCGGAACCGCAUUUGAAACUGGUUCACUAGAGUACUGUAGAGGGGGGUAGAAUUUCAGGUGUAGCGGUGAAAUGCGUAGAGAUCUGAAGGAUACCGG
RNAcentral lists this ribosomal RNA (671 nucleotides) under bacterium ocme08sprp784. RNAcentral describes it as "bacterial SSU rRNA". It matches the Rfam family "Bacterial small subunit ribosomal RNA", at positions 46 to 712 of the family's 1533-position model. The record is from RNAcentral.